GAGUUUGAUCGUGGCUCAGAACGAACGCUGGCGGCAGGCCUAACACAUGCAAGUCGAACGCUCGUAGCAAUACGGGAGUGGCGCACGGGUGAGUAACGCGUGGGCACCUGCCCGGUGGUUUGGAAUAACCGCGGGAAACUGCGGCUAAUACCGAAUACGCCCCUAGGGGGAAAGAUUUAUCGCCAUCGGAUGGGCCCGCGUAGGAUUAGCUAGUUGGUGAGGUAACGGCUCACCAAGGCGACGAUCCUUAGCUGGUCUGAGAGGAUGAUCAGCCACACUGGGACUGAGACACGGCCCAGACUCCUACGGGAGGCAGCAGUGGGGAAUAUUGGACAAUGGGGGCAACCCUGAUCCAGCCAUGCCGCGUGAGUGAUGAAGGCCUUCGGUUGUAAGACUC
Molecule: ribosomal RNA, 397 nt
Filed under: uncultured Alphaproteobacteria bacterium
Lineage: Bacteria; Pseudomonadati; Pseudomonadota; Alphaproteobacteria
Description: bacterial SSU rRNA
Rfam family: Bacterial small subunit ribosomal RNA
Source: RNAcentral